Molecule: ribosomal RNA, 305 nt
Filed under: uncultured bacterium
Lineage: Bacteria
Description: bacterial SSU rRNA
Rfam family: Bacterial small subunit ribosomal RNA
Source: RNAcentral
CCUACGGGACGCAGCAGUGGGGGAUAUUGCACAAUGGGGGAAACCCUGAUGCAGCGACGCCGCGUGGGUGAAGAAGCGCCUCGGCGCGUAAAGCCCUGUCAGCAGGGAAGAAAAUGACGGUACCUGAAGAAGAAGCCCCGGCUAACUACGUGCCAGCAGCCGCGGUAAUACGUAGGGGGCAAGCGUUAUCCGGAUUUACUGGGUGUAAAGGGGGCGCAGACGGCGCUGCAAGCCAGGAGUGAAAGCCCGGUGCCCAACCCCGGGACUGCUCUUGGAACUGCGUGGCUAGAGUGCAGGAGGGGCAG